AGCAGCCGCGGUAAUUCCAGCUCCAAUAGCGUAUAUUAAAGUUGUUGCAGUUAAAAAAGCUCGUAGUUGAAUUUCGGGAUCGACGGGUCGGUCGCGCCUCCGGUGUGUACUGGCCCUGUCGGUUUCUCCCUUCUGACGAACUGCGAUGUCAUUAAUUUGGUGCCGUAGGGAAUCAGGACUGUUACUUUGAAAAAAAUUAGAGUGUUUAAAGCAGGCACACGCUUGAAUACAUUAGCAUGGAAUAAUGAAAUAGGACGUUUUGAUCUUAUUUUGUUGGUUUCUAAGAUCGACGUAAUGAUUAAUAGGGAUAGUUGGGGGCAUUAGUAUUCAAUUGUCAGAGGUGAAAUUCUUGGAUUUAUUGAAGACUAACUACUGCGAAAGCAUUUGCCAAGGAUGUUUUCAUUAAUCAAGAACGAAAGUUAGGGGAUCGAAGACGAUCAGAUACCGUCG
This 450-nucleotide ribosomal RNA is filed under the name uncultured Glomeromycotina. Its description in RNAcentral is "SSU rRNA". It matches the Rfam family "Eukaryotic small subunit ribosomal RNA", at positions 569 to 1020 of the family's 1831-position model. Lineage: Eukaryota; Fungi; Glomeromycota. The record is from RNAcentral.